CAGGCCUAAUACAUGCAAGUCGAACGAUAGAUAGAAGCUUGCUUUUAUCGAAAGUGGCGCACGGGUGCGUAACGCGUAUGCAACCUACCUUAAUCAGGGGGAUAGCCCGGAGAAAUCCGGAUUAACACCGCAUAAAAACACAGGAUAGCAUUAUCCAAUGUUCAAAUAUUUAUAGGAUUAAGAUGGGCAUGCGUGUCAUUAGCUAGUUGGCGGGGUAACGGCCCACCAAGGCGACGAUGACUAGGGGAUCUGAGAGGAUGGCCCCCCACACUGGUACUGAGACACGGACCAGACUCCUACGGGAGGCAGCAGUAAGGAAUAUUGGUCAAUGGAGGCAACUCUGAACCAGCCAUGCCGCGUGCAGGAAGACUGCCCUAUGGGUUGUAAACUGCUUUUAUCUGGGAAUAAACCUUUCUACGUGUAGGAAGCUGAAUGUACCAGAAGAAUAAGGAUCGGCUAACUCCGUGCCAGCAGCCGCGGUAAUACGGAGGAUCCAAGCGUUAUCCGGAUUUAUUGGGUUUAAAGGGUGCGUAGGCGGCCUGUUAAGUCAGGGGUGAAAGACGGUAGCUCAACUAUCGCAGUGCCCUUGAUACUGAUGGGCUUGAAUGGACUAGAGGUAGGCGGAAUGAGACAAGUAGCGGUGAAAUGCAUAGAUAUGUCUCAGAACACCGAUUGCGAAGGCAGCUUACUAUGGUCUUAUUGACGCUGAGGCACGAAAGCGUGGGGAUCAAACAGGAUUAGAUACCCUGGUAGUCCACGCCCUAAACGAUGAACACUCGCUGUU
This 784-nucleotide ribosomal RNA is filed under the name Pedobacter sp. Its description in RNAcentral is "bacterial SSU rRNA". It matches the Rfam family "Bacterial small subunit ribosomal RNA", at positions 43 to 824 of the family's 1533-position model. Lineage: Bacteria; Pseudomonadati; Bacteroidota; Sphingobacteriia; Sphingobacteriales; Sphingobacteriaceae. The record is from RNAcentral.